RNA transcript from Myiozetetes cayanensis, 11104 nucleotides. It is a transcript of the gene named defective in cullin neddylation 1 domain containing 3, with no coding region annotated. The transcript is spliced from 5 exons. Lineage: Eukaryota; Metazoa; Chordata; Aves; Passeriformes; Tyrannidae. The record is from RefSeq and is a predicted model, not a curated record.
CCCGCAGCCCCCGGGCCGGGCAGCGGCCGCUUUGUUCGGGUGCGCUCCGUGGCCGGCCCGCACACGUGUCCCGCCGGAACGGGAACGUUCGUGGUGUUUUCAGGGGAAAGGCAGGGGAAUAAACUGCGAAGCGAUUUAUUUCCGAGGUGGUUCUGGCAAUCUGAGCAUCCCCCCUCCCUUUGCACAGCCACUUUUCCUCCUGCCUGAGCUCUCCCCCUCCCCCGAGCGUGUUUACCCCGCAGUCUGCGCUCAUCGCUCUCUCGCCGGGGCUGUGGUGGGACUAAUAAGCUGCUGGUAACAACAUAAAUUAUAACCUGCAUAAUCAGUGUUUCAAGCAAAUAUUGGUUGAAAGAAUGUGCCUUUCCUAUCAGUGCUGUGGUUGCUGGAAAGAAUCAUUGAUUAUCUUUUAAAUAGUUAACACUGCUGAUAUGCUGCCCUUCAAAAUGUUACAUUGAUAACUGAACAGGCUGAUGCCAAGUGUCAGGAUACAGCAUUGAUCCACAGCUGGUAACUUUUUUCGAAUGGUAAUGCCUGCCACAUAAUUUAAAGGGGUAAUAAGCACUCUGUAAAAAAGGGGCUAUGAGUGUACAAACAGAAGGCACAGAACUGCCCUACCUUUCUGAAAAUUACUGACCUCACUGGCAUGGUCUGUCUCCUUUUGGGAGAUUGGUUGAUCAAAAGACUGACCAUCUAGGCAAAUUCUUAUUAUCUGUUUAAGAACCUCUUUGUUAAACAGUUAAUGUGUAACUCCAGCAUGAGUGUUUUGUUUGGGCUGUAGCAAUGGAAAGAGAGAGUGUCUGAGUACUGGUGUCUUUGGAGCACCUCUGAACACUGCUGCUUGUUUCCUUGGUGAAAGAUAAUCCUCAGAAAAGGAAACACAGUCCCUCAGUGAAGGUUGCAUGUGAAAGAAAGAGGUCUGACCUCGUGUUCUUGUCAGUUCUGUAGCCUGUCCCUGAAGUCCUCCCCACACAGAUGUGUCGUGGUGGUCUGUGGAAAACAUUCACAGCCCUUCACGUGAAAGGCAACUCACAGUCUAAAGCAAAGGUUUUCUGACAUCAGCAGAAAAACUAGAGCUUGUGAUCUGUGUUGAAUUAGUUCAGAUUUGCAAAGUGCAAUUGGCUUUAUGAACUUGCUGCAAAUACCAGCUCUGUAGUGAUUUUCUAAAAUUCUGAUUAUUUCCUAAUAGCAAGUUGUGUGCAGGCACGAGUGACUGUAAUCCUUAAAAAAUGUCACAAAGCUAUCAAUGGGGGAACUUACAGCUUUGGUAAUACUCGGCUGCUCAAAGUGAUGCUUUUGAAAUUGCUUUCAUCUUGACACUGACAGCCUGCAAUGUGAGCUGUAAUCAGCUUCUGGAUCUUUAAGGAUGGGUUAGGUGCCUUCUCUGCACAGUUUCUUGCUUUAUUUUGAAGGUGGAUGUUGUUUUGUUCAUAGCAAAUUCCAGCCGAUUUGUGUCAGUAGCUCUCAUAACUUGCUGAUCUUGGAAAUUCAUUCAUAAUUGCAUCUUGCUUCCCUUUAGCAUGAAUUGUAUGGAAAAAAGGUGAUCAGAGGAAGGAGUGGCUUCGAGAGGAAACCAAGAACAGCUCUUUUGGAAGACUGUCAUUGAAACUAAUUAAAGAAGUAUAUAUUGAGCAAGAAAGGCUGCCAGACAGUUUGACAGACUUCUGAGACAAAGAGACUUGUUCUGACAAAUUCGUGAGUGGAUGAGGAAGAGGCUUGGUUCUGCUGCUCGCUGGGGUUCAGCUUAAGGGAGAGAAAGAAAUCCUGUGUGUUGUGUGUCUGUGUACAGGGGCAGAUGGAAAGGGGAUGGACAGAAGGGCAGACAGGACUCUGCUGCACUCGCACUUCCUGGUGGCAGAAAGGGAUGUACAGGUGGUUUGGAUGGAAAGAGACGCACAGUUGUGGGUUGGCAGGAGAGCCCCAGCACUGCUGAGAGCUGAACCACUUGGUUCUCUUUAUUGGUGCUGGGGAAGUGUUGCUAAAUUUAAUUUAGAGCUUUGGAGGACUGUAAAGUCCAUCGUGGUGGGAUUUCAGCAGUUUGGAAGAACUUGCAAACUGCAGAAACAACGUUAUUGUUUCAUUAGGCACAUGGGUCUGUGCUAGUGAAUGUAACAGGAAAACUCUGAGUAAGAAGAGACUACAAAAAUAAAGGCAUGGGAUGUUAGAAAGACAGUCCUUUCUUUCAUCCUUGUAAUUAAUAAUACAGAAGGAGCUGAAAAUUGUAACCUGAAUUCUUGGAAGACUGAAAGAACAAUCUGUAAACACUUGAGGGACUUGGUAGUCGCAGGAAGAUAAGAGGGAACCCCCUUAACAACUUCAUCAGAAUUCCCUGGCUGGGCUCCUUCUCUCUGGCUGCUUCUCCCUAGGGGUCUGCAUCUUAUCUCGCUGGCUUCCUUUCCUCUAUUUGCCUCUGACUAAUAGGCUUUGUAUUCUGGUUACUGGAAGUCUAAUAAUUUCUUUUGUCUCUUCCCCCUUCCUCCUUUUUAAAAAUACUAGAUUAAUGGCUGUAAUGUUUUGCAGACUAUCUGCAUUGGUGACAUGGAUUAAUUGUAUACUUGACUCCAAGUUAUUCAGCAGUAAUGACAUAGUAAGUCGACUUGAAACAAUUGUCCUUUCGUGGCAAAUGUUCAAGGCAAAUGUUGCCUUCUGGUAAAGAGCCACCUGCAAUUUACCCCCUGUAAACAUAUGACACGAGUAAACUGUCUGUGCUGGUUUUCUCGGUGUCCUCUCUACAGUAAGUUGUCUCUAGUGUGUCUUUUGAAACAGUCAGUGAUCUAUCUUUUCUCCUCCCCCCCUUUCUUUUGACUCCAGCUUGAGUCAGGUAAUUACAGAUCUGGGUUGGAACCUUCCUGGGGAGUGAUCAGAAAGGCCAGGACUUGCCGCAUCGCUCACUCACCCCGUGGCUUCCCCCUCCAUGGGAGGGGUUUGUGGAACCUCCUGGCUGUUGCAUUCUAUGUGGAACCCAGGGAGCCUGAAGGAAGCUGUGAAGCUAAUGGAAUGAUUCCCUGUGUAGCUGAAACUAUGUUGGCUGAGUGCUGCUGAUGGCAUGGUGAGAUGUGUUGAGGAGCGGCCGCGAGGGUGUCCGAGGGCAGGGGGACCGCGGUAGGAGCUGGUGCGCAACAUCAUGGGCCAGUGCGUCACCAAGUGCAAGAAUCCUUCCUCCACCCUGGGCAGCAAAAAUGGGGAAAGGGAAUCCGGCAGCAAGUCCCACAGUAAGAGAAGUGCAGUCCACAAAGACGACCACGGCUCAGCCUGCGGGAAGGCUUCGGGAGACAUCCUCGUGAACGGCACCAAGAAAACGGACGCUGCUCUAGAGUCCAACCAGCCCCCCACGCUCUCUGGAGAUACAAAGAAAGACUCCGUUUGCAGCGCAGAAGAAUCUUCACUUCAAAGGAUCGGGGAGUUGUUUAGGAGGUACAAGGAUGAACGGGAAGAUGCCAUUCUGGAGGAAGGGAUGGAACGAUUUUGCAAUGACCUCUGUGUUGAUCCCACUGAAUUUAAAGUACUAGUUUUGGCUUGGAAAUUCCAGGCUGCUACCAUGUGCAAAUUUACAAGGAAGGAGUUUUUUGAAGGCUGCAAAGCAAUAAAUGCAGACAGCAUUGAUGGCAUUUGUGCAAGGUUCCCCAGCCUCCUAAACGAAGCCAAGCAGGAAGAUAAAUUCAAGGAUCUCUACCGUUUCACCUUCCAGUUUGGCCUGGACUCUGAAGAAGGACAGAGGUCGCUACAUCGGGAAAUAGCCAUUGCCCUUUGGAAAUUAGUCUUCACCCAAAACAAGCCCCCUAUUUUGGACCAGUGGUUACACUUCCUAAUCAAGAACCCCUCAGGAAUCAAGGGAAUCUCCCGGGACACGUGGAACAUGUUUCUAAAUUUUACUCAGGUGAUUGGACCGGACCUUAGCAAUUACAGCGAGGACGAGGCCUGGCCGAGUCUCUUCGAUACCUUUGUGGAGUGGGAAAUGGAGCGAAGGAAAAAGGAAGAGGAAACCAAAUGUGUUACGUCUUCGGACACAGAGGGCCUGUGUGAGGAACAGACUUAGCGGUGUCCAAGCAGCAGUGACGAAAGCAACUUGUUGCCCUUCACAAAAUGUAAACUCUGGAUGUUUCUGGAAAUUACCGAGGCUCCAGAUUUUUCUACUUUACACCUUUUUCUGCCUUGUCUUUGAAAGGGCUCUAAAAUGCUGUAUCAUGUUUUAGGCACUUUCUUAAUUUUGGUUAUUCCUUUUACUCUUGCCCUGAAAUAUUUGACCCUGGCUACAAGUUAAGCGUUUUUGGGGGUUGUUUUUUUUUUUAAGACUUCAGAUUAGUAUAAGUAAGUCUGAUAUUUCUUGCACAAUGUAGAUCUUUUUAGUUAGGUUAAAUUAACAUUGCUAAGUUAUACAGUGCCAGAUUAAGUUUUUCAUACUACAUCUGUCAGGGCAGGUCUGUACUGUGUGUAGUGCUGUUUACAUUGUUGAAAUUUUAGGCUAUAAUAAUUUUAAGGUUUUAUACCAAGAUGAACAGCAGUGUUAACUAUAAAUGCAUUAAUCCCGGGUAAUAAGGCUCUAAAAACCAACAUAAGCAACAGCUUUUUGUAAUAUGGCUAAUUCUCAUUUUGAGCUAACUCUUAGUGAAUGAGUCCAGAUCAUUCCUUUUUUUUGGACUUUCAAACUAAAUGUUGGGAUUGUUUUAUAAAAUUACUGUACCUGUCAGUCAACUGAGUGGUAGAUGACGAUUUGUAUCUAAAUCUCUUUACACAUUCAUGUAAUAAAAGAGCAGUACUACCUCAGUUUUAUUGAAAGUGGACUUGUUGAUGGACUUCCAUUUUCUCUGGAAGUUGUAUUUUUGUGGUUACAUGAGAAUAUUUUUACUUGACUAAAAGAACCAAAGGUUCUGCUUCUUAAGUUUGCUAAACAUUGACAGAAGCAACACACAAAUCCUAAGUCUUCAAGGAAAACUGUGGUAUAAUUCUGCUUUAAUUUGUUUGAUUUAUACCUAAAGUAUUACCUUACUUGUCUGGCAAGCACAGUACUUCUAUGUAAGGAACUAUCUUUUGCAUUAAUACUGAUGAACCAGUUUUUUAAGGCCUAUGUUUAAUUGCUAAAUUGCAGUUAAUACUCCACACUUUCUGGAGAAACAAUAUCGGCAUCUGAUGACAAAGUGAAUUCUUAAUGUGUUCUUAAUGACAACAGUGUAGAUGAGUCAUUUUUAGACUGAUUUGAUAAUAUUUGGAUAGGAGUCAAUUUAUUAUUUUACAAUGCCUGUAUUGGGAUAUUUGCCUGUUGAAAUUGUUGUGACUUAAAGGGAGUUUUAUUAACACUGGUUGAAACUUUUUUGGUUAUUGAUGCUACCUUUUUUAAUUUUUAGUAUGUCAACUUUUUUACACCUUUUGGUAAAAGGAAUGAUUGCCAAGGCUUUCUCUAUAGCCAAGUGCUGGCUUAGUUAAUUUGAUAAACUUCCGUUACACCUUUUUAUUUUCAGAGCUGCAUUUUAGGAUCAUAAAACGACUUCAACUAAAAAAAACCAAACCAAAAAGAAAAAAAAGAAGCCUGGUCAGUCAUCCAUAGCAUCUACUGGCUUUUGUGCUGUAAGGGUUUUCAAGCUAAAGGGAACCAGGUUUUAACUGGUGGGCUUGUCACCAGAUCCAGGGUGUCGUGCUUUGCAUGUCUGCUGUGCCCCAGAGGGGUUAACAGACAGAGGAGCAGGAUCUGCCCCAGUUCUGGGACUGGCUUUGCUGGUGUGCAGCCUCUGCAAUAGCUUGGCUCUGAGGUCAUAAAUCACUAACAAAAUGUGGGUAAUGGAAACUGUUUAAAAACAAGCCCACGAGUCACAGAUAGCAUCUCUUUCAUCUAAUAAGAGGAGAGUUUGGUCCGUGCUGCUCUCGCUGGGAGCCAAGCUGUGGCAAACAAAUGUGGUUGUUUUAGAUGCAGCUGAGUCUGUCUCUGGCAGGAGGAGUGCCCUGAAGUUGCUGUUUUGUGGGUAAAUAUGCCCAAAGCUUUGUCCUUGCUACUCUAACCUUCCAAGCUACUGUGGCACGAGCACUGUUUGGCAGCAAAACCUGAUUCUGGUUUGGUGGGCAAAGCAGGCCAAAGCACUUGUGCUGGUGGUGUUGAAUUUAUGGUGAGACUUUUGUUGGUGCUGUUACUUUUUAAAAACUAAAAUAAAUUCCCCAACAGAGGCUGCUUUGUUAGGAAAAGUUCCAAAUGCAGACUGUAUUUCUAAGUUUGAGGCUCUUCAUUCAUUCAGCUAUUAAAAGCUUUGUUCAUCACUUAAGUUUUUUUUUUUUUUCCUAAAGGAAAAUUAAAAUGUCCAGAGUGUGAAGACUCUUCAGCUGAUAGCCAGUGCAUGCCUGCACACCAGAUCAGGGCAGGGGCUGCUUCUCAUUUAUGUGCUAACAGGCAGCAGCUCCAAAGGAUGAGGGACAGAGCUUUUUUAGAGGGAUGUUUAUCUUGUGGUUGGAAUGUGGACAGCAGGGAAGAAAUCAAUCUGUAGCACAUCCAGCUCAGCCCUUUUAAUGUAUCAGACUUAAUACAGCUUCUUUUUAAGGCAGAGGUGAACUCACAGGAAGGGAAAAUCUGGUUUCCUGUUGGGGAAAGGACACACUGUUGGCAGUGGCUGAGUUCCCAUGUGUUCAGUGUGGGGGCACAGCCCUGCUCCUGCUCCUCUGCUUCCAGGAGCAGGAGCAGCUCCACCCCCUGGACAGAAUACUUGCAAAAAUAGCCAAAUGAUCUAUCCAGCAAAGUACCAUUUAUUUUUAGCCUAAUUUCAGUCUUUUAAUUACCAUUUACAGAAUGCAAACCAGACCUGUAUCAGUUUCAAGCUCUGAACCAGGAGCUGGAGGUGCUUUGGCAGUGCUGACAGUGAGCGAGGCUGUCAGACCUUCCUUGGAUUGCCUGGUGAUUUUGGGAUCCUCAGUGAGACUCACCCGUGCUCUGUCAUGCUGGGGUGGGGGACUGGGCUUUGCACGUGUUUCUGAGAAGUCUUUUAUAAUAUUGGAGCCUCUGAAAAUAUGUUUGUUUAAUGGUUAAACUGUGAAUAUCUGUGGAACAGGCCAAAUACAUUCACUCUUCAUUUUUAUAUAAUUUAAAUCUUUAUUUUUUAGGGCACAGGACUGUAAGUGAGCAGUGAUGCUGAUGAAAUCCCUGAAAUCAUUGCAACUGUUUAAUUUUUUUUUUUUUAAAUUAGAGUAUGCAUUAAGGAACUUUAUGCAUGUAGUGAAUCUGCUGCAACUUGGGAUAAAUAACUAUAGGUAACUUUAUAGUUAUAGUAAUAUACUGGAAAACUGGUCUGACAUCCACAGUCUGUGGCAUUUUACUGCCUUCUCUUAUAUGCAAAGAAAUACAACUCCUGUACACUUUAGUCCCUGGUAAUAAAAGGCUGACCACCUGCACCAUAUUAUAGUUUGCAACACCUUUAAAAUUUGGCUUCCAGAUCAACUGGAGGCUCAGUUGUGCUAAAUUUUACUCGCAUGGGUGCACUUCUGAGGUCAAAGACUGAUGACUGACUGAUUCAAGUAAGGAUUUGAAAGGUCCUGCCCAUGGAACAUGACUGAGGAAAUGGAAUUGAACACUGAAUUGAGAGUUUACUUACUGCUGGUGCUACUCUCCAUGGAGAAUUACAGCUUUUCAGUCCUGUGCAAUUGUAAUGAAAGAACCACAGGAAAAAUAACUGCAGGUGUGGCAGGUGGUGUAAGAGCAGACAGCUGGAGCCUGCAGCAGUUGGGAGUGCUGGGAGCGGCUCCCCCAGGCUGGCCUGGCAGAUCUGCUCAUGGAUCACCCUCUGGACCACGGCAGCUUCUCAGCUGAGCACAGGUAGAGCAUGAGAGGAGCUGCCCCUGCUCUGCUGCUGUGAGGGGCUCGGGUUGGUGCCCAGAUGCAGCCCCUGCUCCCACGGGCAGGGUGGGUGCCUGGUGGGUCGGUCAGUGCUGAGGCAGCAGCAGCUUUGCCUGUGUAACUUGGAUCAUUCACUCCUCCCACGUCCACCAGAGCCUGAGGAACCCAUGGAUCCAGGACUAGCCUGUUAUCCAUGGUUCCCAGGUGUGGCUAUGCACUGCCCAGUGACCUUAGUCUUUUCAUGACACUGUCAACAUCAGCAUCUCCCUUAUAGUUCUAAGCCUUGGUUCUAAAAAAAGCCCAGCAAAGUUAAAAGAAACACCAUGUAGUUAACAGCCACCUCAGUUGUGAUAUAAUUUCUUGGCUGAGGUUACAUCAUUCCCAUGCUUUGGAAAAUAACAGUCAUUGUGAGUUUCUGGGUCUUGCAGCCUUGUCUUCUGCAGUGUGAUCCUUUUUUAGAAGGUCCUCAGUAAAUUAGGCACUCAGUUCUUCCCUUGGGCUCACUCUGCUCAAAGUGUGUGCAUGUGAAUUUAGCUCUUCAUAUUAAAAAAGGAAGAUGUUUAACCUGAAACUCAAAAUUCUUUAGGGUAGUGCUUCAAUAUAGAGCAAAACGUAUUUUUUCACAUAAGUAUUAAAAACAAAGUUUCCUUUCUGCUUAAACUUUGUUGUGUGCAAACAAACCCACCAGUGUUAACAUUUUCUCUCUGGACUAUUGGAAAUUGAACCUUUGGUUUUAUAGUGUCAACUGAAGUGAAAUACAUGAGAUUGUAAGACAGAAAGAAGGCUGUAACUCCUUCACCAUGAAGUACAUAGGUAUCUCUACCUCUUGUUCUUAGACUUGAAUAGUUGAAGGUUACCAUCCUUUCGUCCCAGGAUUUUAUGCCUGGGUGAGUAAUCUAUCUUUUUUUUUUUUUUUUUUUUUAAUUGACCCAAGUUAAGUAUUAUCUAUUUGCCAUAGUUUUUGGUAUACUGUGUUUCAUGUGUAUGCAAUGGACCCUUGGGAAGGGAGCCGGGUCAAGCUGCAAACCAGUGUGUUGGUCCUCCCGGGUGCUACUUUUGGAGUGCAAUAGAGCGGCCGAGCGGAGCUCCCCGGCCGGGGCUGGGGGGCCUCUGGCAGCACAUCCUCCUCCCUGCUCGGGCUGCCUGUACUGGCAGUGAAUUGAAGAUGGAGCAGCUGCUCCCCAGGAGGGAGCCACCAGCCUUUUCCUUUGCCCUUGAAAAGCUUUAGGAACCCACCUGAUGCAGUGCCAUGAGUGUAUUUUUAUUUGAAUCAAAAAUACUGUGUUUUGUUCGCGUUGGACCAGACCUGUAACACCCAGCAAAGAUGGGAGCUGCAGAAGCAUAAAGGCUGCACUCAUCCUUUUCCUCUCAGAGGUCAGAAUCCUGCUCAGGAUAAAACCCCUAUGCUUGAGUAAAGCUGGAGCGUUCUCAAGGGGACUGGAGGUGCCAGAGUGGCUUCAGUGCUCGGCUGUGCUCAUUAAUGCAUCGAGGGGGUGUCUUUUCCACGCGUGUCUGUGUGCCCUGCUCUCCUUCCCCAAAGCAAACUACAACACAACUACAGUCACGGCACGGCCCCAGGAGAUGGGAUGCUGCAGCAGCUGUUGCUGCAAGAUUGUUCUUCCAGUGCGUGUGAGGGCUGCUUUUGGGGUGUGACCUCGUGCACUAUUAGGACGGGCGUGUGUUUCAGGAGAGACAAUAGGUAAAAGGAGCACGGACGUUCUUGUCCUGACAGCUUGCCUUAAAUCACUGACAUUGCAGUGGUUCCUCGCUACUAUUGCAAUCCUCAGUCUUUGGAAAUCCAGCAGGUUCUGUAGGUUGUACUAUUUUUGGUUUUAAUUUUUUUUAAUAAGUUUCUAUCUUCGCAUAAUUGCACUCUUCAAAUAAGCCCUUUUUGGAUAACAUGUCAUUUCUCACACAGGAAAAAAAAUAUUCCGUCUCCAGUGUUUGUGUUGUAAAGUGGGUUUUUUUUCCCUCCUGUAAAUUAUAUUUGGACUAUAGGUUGCCUACUCCUGAACCAGUGUGUUUACUUGAAUGUUGCCAUUUUAUGCAGUUACAGCUGCUGACUCUUGCUCUUCUCUGGGCCCAUGAGAGUGGAGAUCGUGUGACCAGGGGUGGCAAACCUUGCACAGAGGAUCAGUGGAGCUGAAGGCUGUGCUACUCCCAUGUGUAUUCCACCUCAGAGGACUGAACAGUGCUCCAUAUUUUGAAGUUGUGAUUUUUUUAAGUCACGUUAAACAUAGUUAUCUUAAAAAUAUGCUUGCUUUCUUAUCUGUAAGUUUGAAAUAGUCUCUAAAAAGGAGCUGGACUGGCAGGAGUGGUGGGAGGGCCUCAUGCUGUUAGUUGUUGAGUAACUCGAGUUGCAGGAGCUGUGGCUGGGACUGGCUGAAUGAGGUCCUGAUCCAACACUGUUGGGGUUUGCACUGGCUGGUCUUGAGGGCAUGAAGCAAAUGCAAGGCCUUGAUGGGCCCCCUGGAGAAGGGAGACUUGGUUGGUGCAGCUGCGUUUCUUUCUUGAGGCCCCAGUUUAGCCUCACUCCCCCUCUGUGGAAGGAAGGCAUUUUGAUUGUGUUUGCUCCCAGAGAAGUCGCUCAGUGUAACCAAGGAGGUCCUGGGAGCACAGCUUUGUGUGGCUGUCACUGAUCUCAUGUGAACAGAGCUCCCUGAGCGGUCUCUCUGCUCCUCAGUAACCAGCAAGGGUGGGCAGGGUCAAAUCUUCAUGCCAGGAGUGUGUUCUGCCUUUUCAGACUUACCAAGAGAGAACCCAAUUUUCUCACUCUGGGAAAUGAUGAAUGUGUUGUGUGUCACAGAGCAGCCCCUGGUUCCUCUCUGGGCCAACAGUAUCAGAAAUGUAAAUGUAAUGCUUGAAAAUGGCUGGAGUAAAUUCUGUUUCAUGGAGGACCUUUUUUUCAAGGGGAUGCAGCCAAAUUUGAAACCAUGAUCUAGAGGAAAAGUGGGAGAAUUUCAGGACGAUUCAUCUACUGAAUCCCAUUUGGUUUUCAGUUUUACAGUUACUCUUCUUGUAUCAAAUUUUUCUCACCAUUGUUGUCUGGAACAGAAUGGAAACAGCAUCUUAUGGAAUGUGCAAUCUAAGGCACAAUGCAAAUAGGGUAUGAUAAGAAGGUUGUCUUUACUUGAUAGCAAUCCUGAGUGCAAUGUUUUUGUUGUGUCCCUUUUGGAAGAAGAGCAUUAAGUGCAGUCUGAGGUUUUUCUUUUCUUAUAAGCAAAGCAUUGGUUUGUUCAUUACUGACUUCUUGUGAAAUUUGUGCCAGAUGUAUAUUAAAUAUUUUGGUGCUUUUUCUAA